This 776-nucleotide long non-coding RNA is filed under the name Pan troglodytes (chimpanzee). RNAcentral's name for it is "long non-coding RNA NONPTRT017012". Lineage: Eukaryota; Metazoa; Chordata; Mammalia; Primates; Hominidae. The record is from RNAcentral.
UCGGCUGCCAGAUAGGGAGCUGAGACUCCAAGAAGCUAAAUAAGGUGUCCAACACCACAGAGCAUGGAGCAAAGGACACGGGACUGCAAAUCUUCCUAACUCGUGUGCUCAUCUGGCUAUCUCACCAGGGCCUUAAAUUUAAUAUAUCCCAAACUGAACUCAUCUUUAUCCCUUCCCACUUUGCACUCCUCAAAUGUCCUUGUUUAAAAUAGUUACCUUUAUCUUUCCUAACCCAGAAACUCAAAACCUGGCAUCAUCUUUGACUUCUCUCUUUACCUUCACAUUCAACAGUUUCCAAGACUUAAAGGCUUUAUUUGUAGGAUCUCUACCACUGAUCCUCUACAGUUUCACACCUACAUCCCAUUCUCGUUCCCAAAUCCCCAUAACUCCUCUCCUGGCCCAUCCCUUAACACUGAAAUCCUGGCUUGGAAAAUAUGGUCACAUUCACAGCAGCUGUCCCCAAGAAGGAAGCCAAGGCAACAGUAUGCACAAUGAAAUCACUCUGGGAGAAACUCACUGCCAUGUUGUGACAACACUAUGGAGACGCCCAGGUGAGGGACUGAGGCUUCCUGCCAACAGCCACAUGAAUAAGAUUGGGAACAGAUCCUCCAGCCCCAGUCAAGCCUUCAGAUGACUGCAGUCUCAUGAAAGACCCUGCGCCAAAACCACCCAGCUUGAUGAAAUAAUCUGUACAACAAACCCCCAUGACACAAGUUUACUACAACAAACCUGCACAUGUACCCCUGAACUUAAAAGUUAAAACAAAACCACCACCA